This 445-nucleotide ribosomal RNA is filed under the name uncultured bacterium. RNAcentral describes it as "bacterial SSU rRNA". It matches the Rfam family "Bacterial small subunit ribosomal RNA", at positions 335 to 795 of the family's 1533-position model. The record is from RNAcentral.
ACUCCUACGGGAGGCAGCAGUGAGGAAUAUUGCACAAUGGGCGAAAGCCUGAUGCAGCAACGCCGCGUAAGCGAAGAAGGCCUUUGGGUCGUAAAGCUCUGUCCUUGGGGAAGAAAAAAAUGACGGUACUCUUGGAGGAAGCCCCGGCUAACUACGUGCCAGCAGCCGCGGUAAUACGUAGGGGGCGAGCGUUAUCCGGAAUUAUUGGGCGUAAAGAGUGCGUAGGUGGUCUUGUAAGCGUGGGGUGAAAGGCAGUGGCUUAACCAUUGUUAGCCUUGCGAACUGUGAGACUUGAGUGCAGGAGAGGAAAGUGGAAUUCCUAGUGUAGCGGUGAAAUGCGUAGAUAUUAGGAGGAACAUCAGUGGCGAAGGCGACUUUCUGGACUGUAACUGACACUGAGGCACGAAAGCGUGGGGAGCAAACAGGAUUAGAUACCCUGGUAGUC